CCUACGGGAGGCAGCAGUAGGGAAUCUUCCGCAAUGGACGAAAGUCUGACGGAGCAACGCCGCGUGAGUGAUGAAGGUUUUCGGAUCGUAAAGCUCUGUUGUUAGGGAAGAACAAGUGCCGUUCAAAUAGGGCGGCCCUUGACGGUACCUAACCAGAAAGCAACGGCUAACUAAGUGCCAGCAGCCGCGGUAAU
This 194-nucleotide ribosomal RNA is filed under the name uncultured bacterium. RNAcentral describes it as "partial 16S ribosomal RNA". It matches the Rfam family "Bacterial small subunit ribosomal RNA", at positions 338 to 524 of the family's 1533-position model. The record is from RNAcentral.